Lolium perenne is the source of this 4692-nucleotide long non-coding RNA. RefSeq lists it as uncharacterized. NCBI's taxonomy places the organism in Eukaryota, Viridiplantae, Streptophyta, Magnoliopsida, Poales, Poaceae. The record is from RefSeq and is a predicted model, not a curated record.
UGAUUUGGGCCAGCUCGUGGGGGUCGUUGCGAUGAUGUGGCUGCGUUCGGAUUUGCUCGACGUGUCGGCGAGGCGAAGCGGCUGCGGGUCGGUUCGUGGUUUCUUUGACCGCAGCUUCCUCCUUCUUGCUCUCCUCGCUUAGCCGUGCUCUGGUUCUCCUCUUCAUUCGUGGGUUUGCGGCAGAGCGCGCGGUUCUUCGGCGGUGUCGCUGUGGCCGCCGAUCUUCCCCGUCGCGUUUGUUUCUCUGAGCUGGUUUGUUUCCCCUACUUUCUUCUCUAAAUUUUCGUGUGGAUAUUUGGCUGGUGUGUGGUGUGUGCCCUGGAUCUGUGAUGGGAGUGUGCGCAGUUGCCGCUUGGGGAUUGAGCCCAAUCUGCGUGUGUUCAUUUCUGCGAUUCCGUCGAUUUGGGGGCACAUUUUGCUUGGGUCCCUUCGGCCGGUGCCGCUGCUUUGCUGCGCUCGCUGUAUUCUCGGCGCGUGUGGCCAUGCUGCUGGGCAUGUUUUGAUUGGAUGGUCUCUUGUUUGGACGGCCGUAUUAGUAUAUAUCUAUCCGCUCUUUCAGAUUUAGGUCGACGAGCUCGGGAUUCGAGUGUCUGGACACAAAAUGAGCGCAGCGUUUAGUUGUACGGUUCUGUCGUAUCGUGGCGGUGGCUCAUGGAUACUUUGUCCUGAAUCGGUUCUUCCUACUGCAGGUUUAGCAUUCAGGUUUAAUUGUUCAGACUGGAUUGCAGUGAUGAUUUGGUCUAUGACAGAUUGAUGGUCUAUUUUACCUAGCACAGGUUUAGCAUGGAGAUUCAGUUAUCGUGUAUGAUGCUUUCCCUGUUGUAGUUCGGUAGGUUGUUUCUUACAUGACAGCACCCUUAUAUUGUACUAAAAGUAUAUUUUCUACAAUAUAGAUGAGCACUUUGAGUAGUGGUCACCAUUUUCUGCUUCAGCCAUUCAUGCCUGCAUCGCUAAAAAUGUACUCUACAAGGUACAAACACAGAUAUUCACUUUUUUAGUGUAGGAAGGAAGAAUUAGUGCCGGGUAGCAGGAAUUUAUACAAGAUCUAUUGCAAAAUAGCAGGGGCCUUGGAACAUACUGACCCCUCUAAUACUGGAAACUACUUGCAAUCAGGUCUGUGGAAUAAUUCUCUAGGAUGGACACGCGCAAAGUGCAACUACGCAAACAAACCACAUCCAUCAGCAAUGCAUUUAAUUCAGUUUAAGUGACAAACCUAUUACAGUCUAAAUAAGAUAGAAUGACUAUUGAGAUGCUAGAAAGUUACUCAAGUAUACUCAGGUAUGUUGACAAAAAGUAUUAAUAGGUUCAUGAUACUCACAAGGUAAAAUGCAACUUGCCUUAUCUUGCAUGCUUUGAAAUACUUAUUAGGAUGCGGCUUCAAAUUGACAUAAGAUCAAAUUCAAUCUCCUCUUUUAGAGAAAGGUUUGUACUCCUUUAUCAUAGGUGAAACCAAUAGGAUCUUAACUGAAUAGGAGCAACCAAUCUGCAAAUUGCUCAGGGUAUUCGCGUUCUUGUUUUGCAUCUUGAUUUGUCAAUUUCGAAUGUCUAGGGCCUAAGCUCUCUGGGUGCAGAUGUAGAUGUCCUGUCUCUAUCCUUUCACUAUCCCUUUCAGUUUAGGAACGAUAUACAACAGCUGGUUCUUUCCUUUAAAAAAACUGCAGCAACGGUGUUUUAGUUUAGCUGAAAUCGAACGUUUAACAGUAGAUGCAGUCCCCUUUUGUUCAAGAUAUCAUAUUAGACCAAAUGGACUUCCUUCUGUCAUUUUGGUCUAUCCAAAAUUGAAUAUGGAAAAUUUAUGUUCGUGUAGCCUGGUCGUGCAGAUCUCAUGUAGCCUGGUGAUGCAGAUAAGGUAGGCUGAAGGUAGGUGGUGAUAAAACAUUGCUACCAAAGUUUCUCUCAAACUGACCCAAGUGAGGCUAUAGCAGAGGCAUCAAUACAUCUACAAAUAAGGAUAAGAUGCAGAAAACAUCGCAUAUUUGUUAAAGCAUAAUAGUUCUGAUAUUUCAACAGCAGAUAAGCUACUAAUGAACCAUGCACCAUGUUUGACAAGAAUGUCCAUUACCCUGUACUUCAGCACUUAAAUAGUAUAUAUUAUACCGUUACCCUGUAACUGCAACUUGAACAGAAGGACAAAUUAAUGUUGCGUCACUUCGAGAUGUAACUGACAAUAUUUCCUCAAAAGGUCUAUUUUCUUGCUCACCAAAUAUGUUACAUAGUGGUUAGUUGUUUCAUCCUUAUUUUCGUCAUGGCAUUUUUUAAAAAUCAUGUCUUGCUCCAAACCGACAGAGUAUUAACAGUUGAGAUGAAGCUCACUAAGUAUUGGUUGAUAGGGACAUGCCUUGUGCUCACCAGGUGUUUUCCGUGUUGCACAAUGGACUCAGUGAUGCUACAGUGGAGGCGGCCUCCACACGGCACACAAUUGCCAGAACCCAUCCUGAAGAAAGCCAUGUUGCCGACCAAGAGUAUGUGUUGCUACUCGCUUCCGAUUGAAUCGUCAUUCUUGUGAUGGAAAUCAAAUCUCUGGCAUGCAAUUUGGUGAUAGAAUGUUUCCAUCCAUUCAAGGGAAAAUUGAUUCUGAAAAUGGAACAUGGGUGGCACAGACGAUGUAGAGGACAUGGUGCCCGGUCAGGGGAACUUCCAUCGUCUAUUUCCCCUUACGUCUUCGAUAUUGUCGGUGGCCACUGCUAUUUUGUGGUUGCACGUGUGAAAUCAUGACUGCAUAUGCACAUAGAUGAAGAAUCACAAGCCACUGCUACUUGGUUUAUGGUGGCGAGGUUGGCUGGCGGUAGGAUUGGUGGUGGCCUGUUAUUGAUGUGUUUGUGUUUUUUAUGUGUGAAUCUGGUGGGAACUACAAGAUCAUUGUGUGUUUGGUGGUGAUCUGAGCAUUUUGAGUGUUGGACAUGUGGAUAUUUGUACAACGGUGGGAUUCCAAAAACUUGGUUGCGGCGAGGGAGGUGCGAUUUUGAUCUAGCUAGAAACAUUUUAUAUGUAGCUUCUCGGUGUUUAUUUUUGUUGUCGCCACUGGGAUCAUAUUGUGUAUAACAUGCAUGAGUUUCUUCAAUUCUUCCGUGAUUCUGUCAGAUAAUAUACUAUUGGAUCCUUACAACUAUUUUUGCUGGAUGUAUCAUGUAUAUUCUUCUACCGAAAGUAAAGAAUUAUUUGGAUUGCUACAGUCUAUAGCUAGAUCAAGUAAUUUAUUUUUGAUUGCUACAAGUAGAGCAGAAAAGGUGAGGAAUCUCUCUAUGCAAAGAGGACAUACAACGUUGGUCAGCAGACAUUGAUCUGGAGGCAGUAUAUGUCAUAGUAGUUGAUCUGGAUCCUAACCAAGGUUUUUUUAAUCAAAGUUUCCCACUGUUCUUGAUUAAGAAAAUCAGUUUUAUUUCCGUACUGUCAAAAGACGUGCAUGCUGAUUAACCAUUCAGCUUUGGCUUGUUGGACAAUGUCGGUAAUUUUCUUUGUUUGACCUGAAAUCACAAAGGUCAUAUCUUUUCUGCUUUAGUCUUUCCUCUUAGAAUAAAUCAGUACAUGUCAGUGAAAUAUCUCCUGGUUUAGAUGAAUUUCUGCUACCACUACUAUGCAUGUUUUGUCUUGUUUAUUGUACUGAUGGUUAGAUUUGUCUGAAAAAGCAAGGUGCAUUUAUCUCCUAUAUCAUGAGCUCACUAACAGUCUGGUUAAAGUACUCAUGGAUAAGAUGUCUGGGUAAUUAUUGUAUUUUCUUCUAAAGUGCCACAAUAGGAUUUUUGGGAAUUCAGCUUUCUAGGAUCUGUAGCUUUUGUUCCACAACGAGAGGCUAAUCCUGAUAGUUUGGUUAGAUAUAUCUUCAGCUGCCACCAUAUGUUCUUGAGGGUUACUUGAUUAUAAAUAAUCAAAUGUAUGCAUUUUUGGAAUUUGGUUUUUGUUACAUCUAAAGUUAAAUACCAGAUGGGAGCAUAUAACAACAAAAAAUAUUGGUACCUAUUCCUGGUAUGUUAUUUGUUGUAGUUACUUAUUCCAAGUAUCCAAUCAUUCUUUCCGGUCUUCGGUGCAAAUCAAUAGUCUAGCAUUCACAACAGUACUGCUGCAUUGUUUUGUAGAAUACUGAGGAUGAAAAAUUGAUGUCGUCUUUGCAGCGAUUGAAGUGAACAUGAGUUCUUGAAACAUACUUUGAGGAUAUUUUCAUUUUCUACAAAGUUAUUACAAGUAGUUCAACAGAGCACAUUGCACUAGAAGCUUAAAGCCUGGCAAUUGAUCUCUGGAGUUCGGGAUGUCCCAAUAUUUGACAUCAAUUUGAGCGGAUGUGAUUUAUCUUUGCAUGUUAGUUUAUCUUUGGCUAUUCUUUAUGUCUCAGCUAAUGGAGGGUUAUUAGCAAAUAAUAUGUAAGUAUUAGUUUUUUCCAUGUAACAGUGUUUUUUGAAUUGGAGAAGUUGUAAAGGUACUUAUUCAUGUCUUUUUGUUCGCGCUUAUGAUAUGGGGUUGAUGACAAGAAAAUGGGACUGUCGCUGCAUUCAUCUCCUAUUCUGCUGCAUGGACUGUUCCUUCCCUAUGCGCGCAAUUUCCAUGGUGUGAUGUGGUUCAGAUCUUAGGAAUGCUCGGGGGUUUGGGGCCGUGUUUGGUUUGUGAUCUGCAUUUACUGUUCUUCUGAGUCUGCUUAUCUACGAUUUCGGUGUGUUGUUAGCCUAGGUGCUGCUAGACUUCACAUUGGGUUGUUGUUCA